RNAcentral lists this transfer RNA (76 nucleotides) under Youxingia wuxianensis. Its description in RNAcentral is "Oscillospiraceae bacterium NSJ-64 tRNA-Ala". It matches the Rfam family "tRNA". From Rfam's summary of the family: Transfer RNA (tRNA) molecules are approximately 80 nucleotides in length. Their secondary structure includes four short double-helical elements and three loops (D, anti-codon, and T loops). Further hydrogen bonds mediate the characteristic L-shaped molecular structure. tRNAs have two regions of fundamental functional importance: the anti-codon, which is responsible for specific mRNA codon recognition, and the 3' end, to which the tRNAs corresponding amino acid is attached (by aminoacyl-tRNA synthetases). tRNAs cope with the degeneracy of the genetic code in two manners: having more than one tRNA (with a specific anti-codon) for a particular amino acid; and 'wobble' base-pairing, i.e. permitting non-standard base-pairing at the 3rd anti-codon position. The record is from RNAcentral. Lineage: Bacteria; Bacillati; Bacillota; Clostridia; Eubacteriales; Oscillospiraceae.
GGGCCCGUGGCUCAGUUGGGAGAGCGCUGCGUUCGCAUCGCAGAGGUCGAGAGUUCGAAUCUCUUCGGGUCCACCA